AGAGUUUGAUCCUGGCUCAGGAUGAACGCUAGCGGCAGGCUUAAUACAUGCAAGUCGAGGGGCAGCAGGGGUAGCAAUACUCGCUGGCGACCGGCAAACGGGUGCGGAACACGUACAGAACCUUCCUUUAAGCGGGGGAUAGCCCAUAGAAAUGUGGAUUAAUACCCCAUAGUAAUGUUUGGUGGCAUCAUUAGACAUUUAAAGAUUUAUCACUUAAAGAUGGCUGUGCGGCUGAUUAGGUAGUUGGUUGGGGUAACGGCCCACCAAGCCAGCGAUCAGUAACUGGUGUGAGAGCACGACCAGUCACACGGGCACUGAGACACGGGCCCGACUCCUACGGGAGGCAGCAGUAAGGAAUAUUGGUCAAUGGACGCAAGUCUGAACCAGCCAUGCCGCGUGAAGGAUGAAGGCCCUCUGGGUUGUAAACUUCUUUUAUCUGGGACGAAACCCUCGCUUUCUAGCGGGAUUGACGGUACCAGAGGAAUAAGCACCGGCUAACUCCGUGCCAGCAGCCGCGGUAAUACG
RNAcentral lists this ribosomal RNA (525 nucleotides) under uncultured Segetibacter sp. RNAcentral's name for it is "bacterial SSU rRNA". It matches the Rfam family "Bacterial small subunit ribosomal RNA", at positions 8 to 527 of the family's 1533-position model. Lineage: Bacteria; Pseudomonadati; Bacteroidota; Chitinophagia; Chitinophagales; Chitinophagaceae. The record is from RNAcentral.